AUCUAUAGCCAUACCACCCUGAACGUGCCUAAUCUCACCUGAUCUUGGAAGCCAGGCAGUGUCAGGCCUAAUUAGUACUUGGAUGGGAGACCAUCUGAGACUACUGGGUGCUGUAGGCU
This 119-nucleotide ribosomal RNA is filed under the name Castor canadensis (American beaver). The record is from RNAcentral. Lineage: Eukaryota; Metazoa; Chordata; Mammalia; Rodentia; Castoridae.